This is a long non-coding RNA of Mercenaria mercenaria, 1039 nucleotides long. RefSeq lists it as uncharacterized. The transcript is spliced from 3 exons. The record is from RefSeq and is a predicted model, not a curated record. NCBI's taxonomy places the organism in Eukaryota, Metazoa, Mollusca, Bivalvia, Venerida, Veneridae.
GUCUAGAGAGUUCGGAAUAUAUGACAGAGAAACAGAUAAGACGUACCACAGGAAAUUUCAUAGAGAAAUUUUAGAAUGGCGGGUGAAAUUACGUAAAUCAGAGUAUCUUUCUAAACACAAAGACGGUGAAAUGUAAGUGCAUAAUAUGCUUAUAUAAGUAAUAAGUUCAUUCAUUAAAUGUACCUUUUUUAUUAAUAUAUUUAUUAAACAAAAAAAAUACACUUAUUCUUUUAAUACUGUUAAAGUUAAAUAUUUCCUUAAAACUGAUUUUAUAAAAUCACACAAUACAAUACAUUUCAGUCAACAUACCUCAUUAACCGGAAGAAAGCUUGACAAAGAGUUGAUUCUAUUUGAGAGGAAAUGCAAUGAAAACAUAAAUACAUACCUAGAUAGUGCAUCAUCUGGCCAAACGCCAAAGAAAAAUUUGAGUAUUUCACCAGUGUUUGUAACUGAAGAGGACAGAAACAAGUAUCAUGAUAUAGGAAGGAAAAACAAAACCGAAAUCAUAGUCAUUGUAGACAAUUUAAUUCAUGAAAUAAGAGAAAUGGGUAAUUUAUCUGAAGCCAUCCAACUUGAACAUCAGUGGGCGAAAAUAAAAGUAAACACCAAGAAUGAGAUUCUGCAAUUUUAUAAAGAAGUAACCAUUGCAUUAGAGGAUGCCACUUCAAUACAGACAGCAUGUGACCUAGAAUCGGACUCAAGCGACGAAUCAGACUAUGAAGAUUUGUAAUAUAACGAUGUAACAGAGCAGCAUAGAUCUAGUAGGUUAGGAUACUUACAGACAUGAUGUUCACUGUUGUCACAGGUCUAUCGAGUACUGUGUAUACGCUCGGGAAAUGUAUGAUUGUAGUCAUGUGUUCUGUGUAACUUCCGUUUAUGAUUUAAAAUGCAAGUUUAUUUUUUUUUAUAAAAAUUUACAAAUUCAUAGAAAACAUUUUUACAAACACCCUAUACUUUGUAUUAAUAAUUAAUAAUUUCCAAGAAAAUGCUUUUGUGCAUCAAGGAUUGACAACAACAACAACAAAAAUGGACGUCUCAG